AACUAACGCUGGCGGCGUGCCUAACACAUGCAAGUCGUACGAGAAAGCCGGCUUCGGCUGGUGAGUAAAGUGGCGCACGGGUGAGUAACGCGUGGAUAAUCUAGCCCUUAAGUGGUGGAAUAACGUACCGAAAGGUGCGCUAAUACCGCAUAAUGCCUGGCAACAUAAGUUGUCCGGCCAAAGAAGGCCUCUGCUUGCAAGCUUUCGCUAAAGGAUGAGUCCGCGUACCAUUAGCUAGUUGGUGGGGUAACGGCCUACCAAGGCGACGAUGGUUAGCUGGUCUGAGAGGAUGAUCAGCCACACUGGAACUGAGACACGGUCCAGACUCCUACGGGAGGCAGCAGUGAGGAAUAUUGCGCAAUGGGGGCAACCCUGACGCAGCAACGCCGCGUGAGUGAGGAAGGUUUUCGGACUGUAAAGCUCUGUCGAGCGGGAAGAAGUGUACCAUGGCUAAUAUCCAUGAUAUUUGACGGUACCGCUAGAGGAAGCACC
RNAcentral lists this ribosomal RNA (492 nucleotides) under uncultured bacterium. RNAcentral describes it as "bacterial SSU rRNA". It matches the Rfam family "Bacterial small subunit ribosomal RNA", at positions 29 to 494 of the family's 1533-position model. The record is from RNAcentral.